This 483-nucleotide ribosomal RNA is filed under the name Sporothrix nigrograna. RNAcentral describes it as "partial large subunit ribosomal RNA". It matches the Rfam family "Eukaryotic large subunit ribosomal RNA", at positions 101 to 594 of the family's 3401-position model. The record is from RNAcentral. Lineage: Eukaryota; Fungi; Ascomycota; Sordariomycetes; Ophiostomatales; Ophiostomataceae.
GCAACAGCUCAAAUUUGAAAUCUGGCCCCCCGGCCCGAGUUGUAAUUUGGAGAGGAUGCUUCUGGCGCGGCGCCGUCCGAGUUCCUUGGAACAGGACGCCACAGAGGGUGAGAGCCCCGUACGGACGGACGCCCAGCCUCUGCGAAGCUCCUUCGACGAGUCGAGUAGUUUGGGAAUGCUGCUCAAAAUGGGAGGUAAAUUUCUUCUAAAGCUAAAUACCGGCCAGAGACCGAUAGCGCACAAGUAGAGUGAUCGAAAGAUGAAAAGCACUUUGAAAAGAGGGUUAAAAAGUACGUGAAAUUGUUGAAAGGGAAGCGCCUGUGACCAGACUUGCGCCCCGCGGACCACCCGGCGUUCUCGCCGGUGCACUCCGCGGGGCGCAGGCCAGCAUCGGUUCUCCCAGGGGGACAAGGGCCGCGGGAACGUAGCUCCUCCGGGAGUGUUAUAGCCCGCGGCGGCAUGCCCCUGGGGGGACCGAGGACC